RNAcentral lists this ribosomal RNA (460 nucleotides) under uncultured bacterium. Its description in RNAcentral is "partial 16S ribosomal RNA". It matches the Rfam family "Bacterial small subunit ribosomal RNA", at positions 338 to 795 of the family's 1533-position model. The record is from RNAcentral.
CCUACGGGAGGCAGCAGUGAGGAAUAUUGGUCAAUGGACGCGAGUCUGAACCAGCCAUGCCGCGUGCAGGAAGACGGCACUAUGAGUUGUAAACUGCUUUUGUCCGGGGGUAAACGCAGAUACGCGUAUCUGUCUGAAAGUAUCUUACGAAUAAGCAUCGGCUAACUCCGUGCCAGCAGCCGCGGUAAUACGGAGGAUUCAAGCGUUAUCCGGAUUUAUUGGGUUUAAAGGGUGCGUAGGCGGUCGGAUAAGUUAGAGGUGAAAUCCCGAGGCUCAACUUCGGCAUUGCCUCUGAUACUGUUAGGCUAGAGAGGAGGUGAGGUAGGCGGAAUGUAUGGUGUAGCGGUGAAAUGCUUAGAGAUCAUACAGAACACCGAUUGCGAAGGCAGCUUAUCAAGCUACUUCUGACGUUGAGGCACGAAAGCGUGGGGAGCAAACAGGAUUAGAUACCCUAGUAGUC